AAAUAACAAUAGUUUAUAAGGUUGUAGUGUAUUAUUACAAGCCGAUAACAGUCCAAACGUUAAUAGACUAAACCAACUUUCUACGGGCCUACCUAUUUCGAUACGAGACUUCUUCUCUGUAGCAGGAUAUCCUAUAACGUAGAUCCAGUCUAGAGUCACCUAACCUUAUAUUAAG
Molecule: long non-coding RNA, 175 nt
Organism: Centruroides sculpturatus (bark scorpion)
Lineage: Eukaryota; Metazoa; Arthropoda; Arachnida; Scorpiones; Buthidae
Exons: 2
Source: RefSeq, a predicted model, not a curated record